GAGGUAGCAAAGUGUUCCAUGUUAUUUCAAACCAGUGGAAUCCUUCACUCAUUUCUGUGAAUCUCAACUAGCAAAAAUGCAAUUUUAGACUCAGCACCAUCUUUCAUAUUCCAGUUUGGACUGAAGCCCUUGUGCUAAUACAAUUAAAGAGGCAUAAGCAGCCUAACAAAUCGAGUCUAGCUUUUCCUUUGUUGCU
This is a long non-coding RNA of Nothoprocta perdicaria, 196 nucleotides long. RefSeq lists it as uncharacterized. The transcript is spliced from 3 exons. The record is from RefSeq and is a predicted model, not a curated record. Lineage: Eukaryota; Metazoa; Chordata; Aves; Tinamiformes; Tinamidae.